UGGUCAUUACCAAGGCUUUUAGAACUCAGUUUCCCAUUUGCUGUGGACAUGACCAUAAAAAAAUUUCCCACUAGGGUUUAUAUAAGCUACCUUAUUAGCAAUCAACCUAUUGGAAACACUA
RNAcentral lists this small nucleolar RNA (121 nucleotides) under Castor canadensis (American beaver). RNAcentral's name for it is "Small nucleolar RNA SNORA32 (ENSCCNG00000009966.1)". It matches the Rfam family "Small nucleolar RNA SNORA32". From Rfam's summary of the family: ACA32 is a member of the H/ACA class of snoRNA that guide the sites of modification of uridines to pseudouridines. The record is from Rfam by way of RNAcentral. Lineage: Eukaryota; Metazoa; Chordata; Mammalia; Rodentia; Castoridae.